Long non-coding RNA from Daphnia magna, 575 nucleotides. RefSeq lists it as uncharacterized. The transcript has 3 exons. NCBI's taxonomy places the organism in Eukaryota, Metazoa, Arthropoda, Branchiopoda, Diplostraca, Daphniidae. The record is from RefSeq and is a predicted model, not a curated record.
ACUUGAAUUAAAGUAUUUACUUUUAGAAUCGUCAUUGCUGUAAGCAAUGCUGUUGGGCGUGUUAACUGGCCGUUUCGCGAGGAUGCUUUCCAUAAAUGGCUUGAAUUGAGAACCAAAAAAAGACGACAGAUUUCAAACGAAGUUGAAUUGACACUGUUGGCUGAUUGAAUAAGAGUGAAAGCAAGUUGAUAGAGAAAACACAACCAGCAACGUGUCACGGGCUCGCACGUAGCACAUUGGAUGAGGCUACCUUUAACCGACAGUGAACUUUUGAGUAAACGAGAACCGCUUGGACAACUGUUUGAACUUUGUCAACAAGGCGGUGCCCUGGUGAAGUGAAAGGAUUCUACGUGGAGAAAGCAAAUUAGCUUUUACUCAAGGAAAAACCUGAUCGACUUGUUUGAUUUCUCCUAGACACUACACCCAGUCUCGGGUCCAGGGGACCGAUGGUAAAUUCCUAAUUUUGAAGAAAUUUCGAGAUAUCAGAGGACCAAAUAGGCUUCAGUGGUUUUUACUACGUCACUAUAUUUGUCCGAGACAGUAGUGGCAUCUAACGGGAUUCGUCAGCUUCUGAU